RNAcentral lists this unclassified non-coding RNA (354 nucleotides) under soil metagenome. RNAcentral's name for it is "partial contains 5.8S ribosomal RNA, internal transcribed spacer 2, and large subunit ribosomal RNA". The stretch from base 4 to 119 matches the Rfam family "5.8S ribosomal RNA", at positions 39 to 154 of the family's 154-position model. The record is from RNAcentral.
GAUAAGAACGUAGCGAAAUGCGAUAAGUAAUGUGAAUUGCAGAAUUCAGUGAAUCAUCGAAUCUUUGAACGCACAUUGCGCCCAUUAGUAUUCUAGUGGGCAUGCCUGUUCGAGCGUCAUUAAGUCCACUUAAGCCCUGCUUAGUGUUGGGAGACUGCUCCAGCGGUGCUACCCUGUAGCUACCCUGCAGCUCCUCAAAGACAGCGGCGGAGUUGUGGUAUCCUCUGAGCUUAGUAACUUGUUCUAGCUUUCGAGUACACCACUUCCCCUGCCGUAAAACCCUUAAUUUUUAAUGGUUGACCUCGGAUCAGGUAGGAAUACCCGCUGAACUUAAGCAUAUCAAUAAGCGGAGGA